UAUGUGAUCGUCUCUCGCAUAUCAAUAAGCGGAGGAAAAGAAACUAACAAGGAUUCCUCUAGUAACGGCGAGUGAAGCGGGAAGAGCUCAAAUUUGAAAUCUUAAAGGGUUUCCCUUUACGAAUUGUAGUUUAAAGAAGUGUUUUCUGUUGAGGUUUAGGUAAAAGUUCUUUGGAAUAGGACAUCAUAGAGGGUGAGAAUCCCGUAUUUGACCUUUACUUUCAACUUUGUGAUACACUUUCAAAGAGUCGGAUUGUUUGGGAAUGCAGUCCAAAAUGGGUGGUAAAUUUCAUCUAAAGCUAAAUAUUGGCGAGAGACCGAUAGCGAACAAGUACCGUGAGGGAAAGAUGAAAAGAACUUUGAAAAGAGAGUUAAACAGUACGUGAAAUUGUCAAAAGGGGAGCGUUUGACACCAGUGUUGUUUUUCUGAAAAUCAAUUAAAGAACUGUUUAUGCUAAGUUGUUUAGACUUUAUCAGCUAACUGUUUAGUUUUGAGCUUUUCUUUAAUGCACUUUUCAGUUAACAAGUCAACAGUCAAUUUCUUUUGCUGUAAAAAAGCUUGAGGAGGUGGCUUGAGAUUCGUCUUAAGUGUUUAUAGCCUCUUGCCUAUGCAGUCGGAGAGAUUGAGGUCUGCAGCGUAGAUCCUUCGGGGCUAAAUGCAUUUGUGCUAAGUUAUAGCAUUUUAUAGACAACUUGUUGACUAUGAUUUGUCUUGUAGCUUACUCGCUUAUGUUAUUUUACCUACGCUUAGGAUGUUGACACACGCGCGUGCUCG
This 774-nucleotide ribosomal RNA is filed under the name uncultured Neocallimastigales. RNAcentral's name for it is "partial large subunit ribosomal RNA". It matches the Rfam family "Eukaryotic large subunit ribosomal RNA", at positions 24 to 656 of the family's 3401-position model. The record is from RNAcentral. Lineage: Eukaryota; Fungi; Neocallimastigomycota; Neocallimastigomycetes; Neocallimastigales.